Molecule: ribosomal RNA, 253 nt
Filed under: uncultured bacterium
Lineage: Bacteria
Description: partial 16S ribosomal RNA
Rfam family: Bacterial small subunit ribosomal RNA
Source: RNAcentral
UACGUAGGGUGCAAGCGUUAAUCGGAAUUACUGGGCGUAAAGCGUGCGCAGGCGGUUAUGUAAGACAGUUGUGAAAUCCCCGGGCUCAACCUGGGAACUGCAUCUGUGACUGCAUAGCUAGAGUACGGUAGAGGGGGAUGGAAUUCCGCGUGUAGCAGUGAAAUGCGUAGAUAUGCGGAGGAACACCGAUGGCGAAGGCAAUCCCCUGGACCUGUACUGACGCUGAGGCGCGAAAGCGUGGGGAGCAAACAGG